Photinus pyralis (common eastern firefly) is the source of this 364-nucleotide long non-coding RNA. RefSeq lists it as uncharacterized. The record is from RefSeq and is a predicted model, not a curated record. Lineage: Eukaryota; Metazoa; Arthropoda; Insecta; Coleoptera; Lampyridae. The transcript has 2 exons.
GAUGAUCUGAUUAACUGAAAAUUUAAAUCUCCUCAUUUGUUUCUGUUCUUAUAGCAACCAUAAACAAACAAAUAAAAAUUUUGGCAACACACAAAUUUUGCUCCUUAAAUUCUUUGUAAACUUCCAACCCAAGAAGAAAUAUGCCUUGCUCACCUUGCUGUGCACCCUGCUACCCAUGUUUCUACCCUGUUUGCGCGCCAUGUUAUCCUGUCUAUUGCGCUCCGGUUGUGUGCGCACCCUGCUGCCCCCCUUGCGGACCCUGCCCUCCUAAGUGCUAGCAAUGUUACGGAGUGGAUUCUUCAGUACAUUUUAGAGACUAAGGCAAUGUAACAACAUAAAUUAAUAAAUAUUUGCAACUAGAAAA